RNAcentral lists this ribosomal RNA (406 nucleotides) under uncultured bacterium. RNAcentral's name for it is "bacterial SSU rRNA". It matches the Rfam family "Bacterial small subunit ribosomal RNA", at positions 355 to 776 of the family's 1533-position model. The record is from RNAcentral.
UGGGGAAUUUUCCGCAAUGGGCGCAAGCCUGACGGAGCAAGACCGCGUGGGGGAGGAAGGCUCUUGGGUUGUAAACCCCUUUUCUCAGGGAAGAAGUUCUGACGGUACCUGAGGAAUCAGCCUCGGCUAACUCCGUGCCAGCAGCCGCGGUAAUACGGAGGAGGCAAGCGUUAUCCGGAAUUAUUGGGCGUAAAGCGUCCGUAGGUGGUGGGGCAAGUCGGCGGUUAAAGACUGGGGCUUAACUCCAGAAAGGCCGUGGAAACUGCACCACUAGAGGGCAGUAGGGGUAGAGGGAAUUCCCGGUGUAGCGGUGAAAUGCGUAGAGAUCGGGAAGAACACCAGUGGCGAAAGCGCUCUACUGGACUGCAACUGACACUCAGGGACGAAAGCUAGGGGAGCGAAUGGG